AACGAACGCUGGCGGCAUGCCUAACACAUGCAAGUCGAACGAGACCUUCGGGUCUAGUGGCGCACGGGUUCGUAACCCGUGGGAACCUUCCCUUAGGUUUGGAAUAACUCCCCGAAAGGGGUGCCAAUACCGGAUAAUGUCUUCUGACCAAAGAUUUAUCGCCUUUGGAUGGUCCCGCGUUGGAGUAGCUAGUUGGUAGGGUAAAAGCCUACCAAGGCGACGAUCCAUAGCUGGUCUGAGAGGAUGAUCAGCCACACUGGGACUGAGACACGGCCCAGACUCCUACGCGAGGCAGCAGUGGCGAAUAUUGGACAAUGGGCGAAGGCCUGAUCCAGCAAUGCCGCGUGAGUGAUGAAGGCCUUAGGGUUGUAAAGCUCUUUUACCCGGGAUGAUAAUGACAGUACCGGGAGAAUAAGCUCCGGCUAACUCCGUG
This 433-nucleotide ribosomal RNA is filed under the name uncultured bacterium. RNAcentral's name for it is "partial 16S ribosomal RNA". It matches the Rfam family "Bacterial small subunit ribosomal RNA", at positions 29 to 507 of the family's 1533-position model. The record is from RNAcentral.